UGGAUGGUUCUUUUCUUUGGGGAUUUUGAACCUAUUUCAGCUUUAGACUUCCACAAGGUUACAAGAUGACAGACAAAAGCGACUUCAGCCCAUCGAAAUGGCCAGACCAAUAAGGAAAUAGCAGUUUAUUCACGAAGAUAUAGUGAUGUCCGAACAUUUAAGCAUCGUAAACAAUGGAUAUUAGUCUUGACAUAGACUACAAAUGGGGGUUUUGUGUAUCAAGAAGGCUAUGCGAGCAUUCAACGUUGCAGCCAAGCUCUGAAAAAAUUUAAACGGGGCAGACGAAGGCAGACAAGGACCUUAUUCAUU
Molecule: long non-coding RNA, 309 nt
Organism: Sinocyclocheilus grahami
Lineage: Eukaryota; Metazoa; Chordata; Actinopteri; Cypriniformes; Cyprinidae
Exons: 2
Source: RefSeq, a predicted model, not a curated record